This 422-nucleotide ribosomal RNA is filed under the name uncultured bacterium. Its description in RNAcentral is "bacterial SSU rRNA". It matches the Rfam family "Bacterial small subunit ribosomal RNA", at positions 355 to 774 of the family's 1533-position model. The record is from RNAcentral.
UAAGGAAUAUUGGACAAUGGAGGCAACUCUGAUCCAGCCAUGCCGCGUGAAGGAAUAAGGCCCUAUGGGUUGUAAACUUCUUUUAGACGGGACAAAACCCCUUUACGUGUAAAGGGUUGAUGGUACUGUCAGAAUAAGCAUCGGCUAACUUCGUGCCAGCAGCCGCGGUAAUACGAAGGAUGCAAGCGUUAUCCGGAAUUAUUGGGUUUAAAGGGUGCGUAGGCGGACUAAUAAGUCAGUGGUGAAAGCCUGCAGCUUAACUGCAGAAUUGCCAUUGAUACUGUUAGUCUGGAGUACAGUUGAGGUAGGCGGAAUGUGUCAUGUAGCGGUGAAAUGCUUAGAUAUGACACAGAACACCGAUUGCGAAGGCAGCUUGCUAAGCUGUAACUGACGCUGAGGCACGAAAGCGUGGGGAGCAAACA